UAGCCUAGUGGUUAAGGCUAUGGAUCGCCAAUCCAGAGACUGCGAGUUCGAUUCCCGU
This is a non-coding RNA of Aedes albopictus (Asian tiger mosquito), 58 nucleotides long. The record is from Rfam. NCBI's taxonomy places the organism in Eukaryota, Metazoa, Arthropoda, Insecta, Diptera, Culicidae.